This 353-nucleotide unclassified non-coding RNA is filed under the name soil metagenome. RNAcentral's name for it is "partial contains 5.8S ribosomal RNA, internal transcribed spacer 2, and large subunit ribosomal RNA". The stretch from base 1 to 120 matches the Rfam family "5.8S ribosomal RNA", at positions 35 to 154 of the family's 154-position model. The record is from RNAcentral.
GAUGAAGAACGCAGCGAAAUGCGAUAAGUAAUGUGAAUUGCAGAAUUCAGUGAAUCAUCGAAUCUUUGAACGCACAUUGCGCCCGCCAGUAUUCUGGCGGGCAUGCCUGUUCGAGCGUCAUUACAACCCUCAGGCCCCCGGGCCUGGCGUUGGGGAUCGGCGGAAGCCCCCUGCGGGCACAACGCCGUCCCCCAAAUACAGUGGCGGUCCCGCCGCAGCUUCCAUUGCGUAGUAGCUAACACCUCGCUACUGGAGAGCGGCGCGGCCACGCCGUAAAACACCCAACUUCUGAAUGUUGACCUCGAAUCAGGUAGGAAUACCCGCUGAACUUAAGCAUAUCAAUAAGCGGAGGA